CCUACGGGUGGCAGCAGUGAGGAAUAUUGGUCAAUGGGCGAGAGCCUGAACCAGCCAAGUCGCGUGAAGGAUGACGGCCCUAGGGGUUGUAACCUUCUUUGGUCAGGGAGCAAUUGAGUCCACGUGUGGGCUUAGCGAGCGUACCUGACGAAAAAGCAUCGGCUAACUCCGUGCCAGCAGCCGCGGUGAUACGGAGGAUGCGAGCGUUAUCCGGUUUUAUUGGGUUUAAAGGGUGCGUAGGCGGAAUAUCAAGUCAGCGGUAAAAAUUCGGGGGUCAACCCCGUCGUGCAGUUGAAACUGAUGUUCUUGAGUGGGCGAGAAGUAUGCGGAAUGCGUGGUGUAGCGGUGAAAUGCGUAGAUAUAACGCAGAACUCCGAUUGCGAAGGCAGAAUACCGGAGCCCAACUGACGCUGAAGCACGAAAGCGUGGGUAUCGAACAGGAUUAGAUACCCCGGUAGUC
This 460-nucleotide ribosomal RNA is filed under the name uncultured bacterium. Its description in RNAcentral is "partial 16S ribosomal RNA". It matches the Rfam family "Bacterial small subunit ribosomal RNA", at positions 338 to 795 of the family's 1533-position model. The record is from RNAcentral.